GAAAUUUUAAAAUAACAAUACAUUUCAGAUUUGAUCUUGGUCUAUUACAACACAUUUCCUUCUCAGUCAACGUGACUUUCACCUUCCUUUCACAUAGGUCUCUCAAGGGAGUAGAAAAUGCUGUUGAUAUUAAGACACCUAUGCUAUACAUUGAGCAAAUAACAAAAUAUUUAUACGUUUUCCAGCUUCCACUAUAGCAGAAAAACUACAGAGGAAAUGUGCUUCUUUAACUUGUGUGUCUUGAAAAAUUAAAAUAUACAAAAUACACUGCAGGAUCAGAACAGUUCAACUGGAUAAAUGUUAUCCUUCAUAAUCUGGACCUGAAAAUGCAGAUUUGAAUAGCUGAAGAUCUCCAGACAUGGAACUAAUACAAGAAGCGUUAGAAAAAUUCACGUUGCUCUAUAUAGAGAAGAAGAAAAUACUUGAAGUCAUAACAAGGAAUGGAAUAAGGUGCCGGAUCAGAGGCACUUAAGUCUUUCAACUCUGAAGAAAAGCUUGACUUUCUUUUGACUUAAUUACUCAGAAUUUUACCUUAUUGACUGGAGUUAAGAUUCUCUUACUGACCACUCUUAUCUAGUAAAUGCAUCAGAAUAAUAGCAAUAAUAAUGAAACAAAACUGACUAUGUCAUGUUAAGUUGAAUGAUAAGUCCUCGGCAGUAGAAUUAAAUCAUAAAUGUUUUUUUCUCAGCAAAUUAAAAAGCCAGGUUGAGAUAGUAGAUUCCUCUUCUAAACAAAACAUUUCAUAAAGGAAUGUUACCCCUCUGAUAUAAGAAUUCUUUAUUUAUGACUUUUAUCUAUACGAGCUACACCAGCAUACAGUCAGUGUGACAAAAAAUGCAUGCUUGAUUCUUAUGCAAAUAUUUCCAAAUUCAUUUCAAACUGUUAUUCAAUAAAAGAUGAGUAUCCUCUUAUUUUUAAUCUUCCUUCACCUUCAUUCUAAGUGUGUAAGUGGAAGACUUGUGUUGACUAGAAGACUGAUAAACAGAUUUAAGCAUAAUGACUUUUCAUUUCAAUUAGAAAAAUUACCUUCUUUAGCUGAUAAAAAUCUAAGAACUUCCAUAUUCAUUUCUAUGAGCUAGUUUGUUGCUGCUGAUUUUUUGUUCUUGUUUUCUUUUCUUCUAAAAAUAAAUAAAAAUAUUGAUGAUGUACAUUACAUGAUUAGUUUAAUGACAGCCUUAGAAAUUUAUCUGUACUUUUUAGAAAUAUAUAAUUAAGAUUUAAGGAAUACCAACGGUUCCAUUCUGUUUGUCAUUAGAUAUGCGUCAUUGUUGCUUAGUACCUUUGUUCUUUUGUGAUAAGAUCUGUUGAUUGGUGAAACAGUAUAGUGCCUAUACGGUUACAGAGUGAAGCUCUAUAACUGAAACGUUAUGCUCUAGUGGAAAGCAAAUUUCCAGACAAAAUCAGUAGUCAUGUGGAAAUGAAUUAAGAAGAGAAAAUUAAGUUAUUUGAACUGUAGGACAUUUUUUUUUCUUUCUUUAGUAAUGUAUAAGAAAAUAAAGAUGGACUAUUUUUCUUCCUAUGAAAGGAGAUGUUUCUGUUACUAAAUAAAGAAAAUUUUGUCAUUGCAAUAUUUGCUGACUUUUCGCUUCUUCCUCCAAAGUAGCUGAUGCUUAGGCACUUUCUCUUGAUGUGGUCUACUACACUUUCC
This 1648-nucleotide long non-coding RNA is filed under the name Gallus gallus (chicken). The record is from RNAcentral. Lineage: Eukaryota; Metazoa; Chordata; Aves; Galliformes; Phasianidae.